This 76-nucleotide transfer RNA is filed under the name Athalassotoga saccharophila. RNAcentral's name for it is "tRNA-Met". It matches the Rfam family "tRNA". Rfam says of the family: Transfer RNA (tRNA) molecules are approximately 80 nucleotides in length. RNAcentral also lists the same sequence under 4 other names. Lineage: Bacteria; Thermotogati; Thermotogota; Thermotogae; Mesoaciditogales; Mesoaciditogaceae. The record is from RNAcentral.
GGGCUCAUAGCUCAGCUGGUAGAGCUCCCGGCCCAUAACCGGGCGGUCGAUGGUUCGAAUCCACCUGAGCCCACCA